This is a small nuclear RNA of Panthera pardus (leopard), 107 nucleotides long. Lineage: Eukaryota; Metazoa; Chordata; Mammalia; Carnivora; Felidae. The record is from Ensembl.
GCUUUGAUAUACUAAAAAUCAGAACUAAAAUUGGAAACCAUGCAAAGAUUAGCAUGACCCCUGAGCCAAGAUGACAUAUGCAAAUUCAUGAAGCGUUUCAUAUUUUU